GCUGGAGUAGCUCAGUGGUCAGAGCUGAUAUUUUGUAAGUAUCGGGCCGAUAUGGAUCUCGCAGGUUCGAAUCCUGUCUCCAGCUCCA
This 88-nucleotide transfer RNA is filed under the name Caudoviricetes sp. RNAcentral's name for it is "tRNA-Thr". It matches the Rfam family "tRNA". Rfam says of the family: Transfer RNA (tRNA) molecules are approximately 80 nucleotides in length. Their secondary structure includes four short double-helical elements and three loops (D, anti-codon, and T loops). Lineage: Duplodnaviria; Heunggongvirae; Uroviricota; Caudoviricetes. The record is from RNAcentral.